UGGGGAAUUUUGGACAAUGGGCGAAAGCCUGAUCCAGCAAUGCCGCGUGUGUGAAGAAGGCCUUCGGGUUGUAAAGCACUUUUGUCCGGAAAGAAAUCCUUGGCUCUAAUACAGUCGGGGGAUGACGGUACCGGAAGAAUAAGCACCGGCUAACUACGUGCCAGCAGCCGCGGUAAUACGUAGGGUGCAAGCGUUAAUCGGAAUUACUGGGCGUAAAGCGUGCGCAGGCGGUUUGCUAAGACCGAUGUGAAAUCCCCGGGCUCAACCUGGGAACUACAUUGGUGACUGGCAGGCUAGAGUAUGGCAGAGGGGGGUAGAAUUCCACGUGUAGCAGUGAAAUGCGUAGAGAUGUGGAGGAAUACCGAUGGCGAAGGCAGCCCCCUGGGCCAAUACUGACGCUCAUGCACGAAAGCGUGGGGAGCAAACAGGAUUAGAUACCCUGGUAGUCCACGCCCUAAACGAUGUCAACUAGUUGUUGGGGAUUCAUUUCCUUAGUAACGUAGCUAACGCGUGAAGUUGACCGCCUGGGGAGUACGGUCGCAAGAUUAAAACUCAAAGGAAUUGACGGGGUCAUAGCUG
This 579-nucleotide ribosomal RNA is filed under the name uncultured bacterium. RNAcentral describes it as "partial 16S ribosomal RNA". It matches the Rfam family "Bacterial small subunit ribosomal RNA", at positions 355 to 932 of the family's 1533-position model. The record is from RNAcentral.